RNAcentral lists this transfer RNA (87 nucleotides) under Candidatus Sumerlaeota bacterium. RNAcentral describes it as "tRNA-Leu". It matches the Rfam family "tRNA". Rfam says of the family: Transfer RNA (tRNA) molecules are approximately 80 nucleotides in length. Their secondary structure includes four short double-helical elements and three loops (D, anti-codon, and T loops). Lineage: Bacteria; Candidatus Sumerlaeota. The record is from RNAcentral.
GCCGGGAUGGCGGAAUUGGCAGACGCGCAAGACUAAGGAUCUUGUGGGAGCAAUCCUGUCCGGGUUCAAGUCCCGGUUCCGGCACCA